UACGGAGGGUGCGAGCGUUGAUCGGAAUUAUUGGGCGUAAAGCGCGUGCAGGCGGUUUUUUAAGUCUGAUGUGAAAGCCCUGGGCUCAACCUGGGAAGUGCAUUUGAAACUGGGAGACUUGAAUACGGGAGAGGGGAGUGGAAUUCCAGGUGUAGGGGUGAAAUCCGUAGAUAUCAGGAGGAACACCGGUGGCGAAGGCGGCUGCCUGGACAGAUAUUGACGCUCAGACGCGAAAGCGUGGGGAGCAAACAGG
Molecule: ribosomal RNA, 253 nt
Filed under: uncultured prokaryote
Description: partial 16S ribosomal RNA
Rfam family: Bacterial small subunit ribosomal RNA
Source: RNAcentral